CUAAGUCCAAUUCAUUUUGAUAUCCUAUAUCCUUUCUAGGAAAUUUGCACUCCAGGCUGGAAUUCUAGGCCCUCCAGGUUUGGGGGAAUGGGGCUGAGCUAACAUCCAACCUAAGGACAAGACCAUCCCAGCUGAUAUCAAAGCAGUUUGGAAAGCAUGUGAGAAAACUCCAGAUAGAACAAGGUCCAUCCUGGGCCUCAUUUUCUUCAUCUGUAAUGUGAGGAAGAAAGAAGAGAGAGGCUGAGGAUGAACCUCUCUGACUUCAUUGUUUCAUCCUGGGAAUGCUGAGUGACCAGUCCCCUUCAGCCACAAGCUAUAGUCAAAGUUCCUGAGAGAAGCAAAGUUGCUGCGAUGUGUGAUGUUACCCUCCUGUAAAUGACAGAAUCCUGUUCAGAGGCAGCACCCCGCAGGAGUUAGCACCGCGCAGACGUGAUGCAGCAUUAUAACGAUGCCCUACUUACCAGUUCCUGUUUUUUAUGACUGAAUGGAUGCUUGGACCUGCUUGGGGCUAUAUAAAGGGUUUUCCUGCCCUUGCCACACUCAGCCUGUCUUUGCCAAGACAAUUCCCAGGAGGGACUUAUACCUGUGAACAGGAACUGACAAAGAAGCAACUCAGCCCAAAAGUUUCCCAGGCUCCUGGGCUGUAGUAUGACCACCCUGUGACUCAUUUGGAUAAAGUAGGGCUCAACAGAUAUUUAUCAAAUGAACAAAUGAAUGAGAGGGUGGGUGAAUGAGUGUUUCCAUGAGUGGGCAGCCACUCCCUCCGGGAAUGAGAGUGCUUCCUACUCCAGAAUGUUGAGUGCUUUCGAAGGAAGUCCUCUGGGGCUUUCCUGAUGAGUGCUCCAUGAAGAAGCCACAGUUGUCUCCUCAAUUCAUUGUGGGGAGUCUUAGAUUUCUUUGGAACCCUAAAUGCUAAACUUCCUACUGGUAUAUAAUAGCUGCUCAAUAAAUGUGUGUUGAUGCAUUGUUUCUCCGGUGUGAGAAACUGAAAGUGGAAAUAAAGACUAAAAUAAAUAAAUAAAUACAUACAUACAUACAUAAAUAUGUGUUGAAUUGAAGGGGGAGCUAGAAAGAGAAAGAAGACUUAGAUUCUGCCUUCCAAAUGUUUACAGUGUAGUAGGAGUGAAAGGCAUAUGUAAGUGCUGUAUGACAAAGAAAAAUGGGUAACCUGAACAGAAAAGGGUCGAGGGGUGUAUGCUACAGGCAGUAGGGCUGGAAAAACUCACAAUGGGCCAAAAAGUCAGGGGAUGCUUCCCGAAAAAGUCAGAUGGAAUUGGGGAUGGCCAUGAAGGAUGAGAGGAUUUGGAGGCACAGAGGCAUGGGAAAAGGGAAAUGAGUGGCUCCCAGAAGGAAGGUCAGGUCAAGUUAUAUUGACUCAAGUAGAUUACACAUAGCCAGAGCAGAGUCAAGUAAAAGUGUGCCAUGCGCUGUAAGGCAGCACAGGGAGGAAAAAUAAUUUUCCCUUUCC
This is a long non-coding RNA of Heterocephalus glaber (naked mole-rat), 1468 nucleotides long. RefSeq lists it as uncharacterized. Lineage: Eukaryota; Metazoa; Chordata; Mammalia; Rodentia; Bathyergidae. The record is from RefSeq and is a predicted model, not a curated record.